GAUAUAGAGGCGCGGUUUAUAAGAGUAGCCGCUCCGGGAUCCUCAAAGAUCGACGCGGAGUGUGUGAAAGGGCGAACCGCCGAAAUGGUUUUUCGUUUGAGGGAAGAAUCGUUGGGCGUAGGGACAAUAUCCAUACGACUGUCGCAUUUGCGGAGUGCUAU
Molecule: non-coding RNA, 161 nt
Filed under: human gut metagenome
Description: Lysine riboswitch
Rfam family: Lysine riboswitch aptamer
About the family: Riboswitches are metabolite binding domains within certain messenger RNAs that serve as precision sensors for their corresponding targets. Allosteric rearrangement of mRNA structure is mediated by ligand binding, and this results in modulation of gene expression.
Source: RNAcentral